UUAUUCGGAUAAUCGCGGUUUACAAAAAAACGUAGACUGAGGAAAGUCCAUGCUCGCACAAGCUGCGAUGCUUGUAGUGUUCGUGCUAGCUGAAAAAAUAAGGCUAGGUAUCUUUAAAGUCUAAUUGUCAUCUCCUAAGAGCCUGUUAACGAUCUCUCUAUUGAUGAAUUUUUUGAGAAAUUUUUGUGCAUUUUUAGGAAAAAAACGUAGGUUUAGCGGUGCUAAAUCGAGGCUUUUUGACAAAGAAAGGCACAAAAAUUUCUCAAAAAAUUCAUCAAUAGAGAGAUCGUUAACAGGUUCUAAGUGAUUAAAAAAAGAUUUUUAGAUAACGGCAGGAAAACAAUACUAAGGUUUUUAAACUAUGUAUCAGUAUCCUUGAAAGUGCCACAGUGACGAAGCAUUUAAAGAAA
Molecule: RNase P RNA, 410 nt
Filed under: Lactobacillales bacterium
Lineage: Bacteria; Bacillati; Bacillota; Bacilli; Lactobacillales
Description: partial RNase P RNA component class B
Rfam family: Bacterial RNase P class B
About the family: Ribonuclease P (RNase P) is a ubiquitous endoribonuclease, found in archaea, bacteria and eukarya as well as chloroplasts and mitochondria. Its best characterised activity is the generation of mature 5'-ends of tRNAs by cleaving the 5'-leader elements of precursor-tRNAs.
Source: RNAcentral